Molecule: long non-coding RNA, 212 nt
Filed under: Elaeis guineensis (African oil palm)
Lineage: Eukaryota; Viridiplantae; Streptophyta; Magnoliopsida; Arecales; Arecaceae
Description: long non-coding RNA (EGUI_LNC042087)
Source: RNAcentral
UGGCAGGGGUGGUGCGGGGCAUGGCUAUUUUGUGGUGCUACUGUGUUUCCAUCAAAGUCUUCCAUGGGGCAUGGAUCAGGAGGAACUUUUCAAUCAUCGAAAAAUUGGUGAUUGGUCUUCAGAGAUGGUGGUGGUCUGCUAAUUAGGUCCUUUUUUUGGCAAUUGCUAGUUGGAAUGUGGUUGGGGAGGGGGCAUCUGGCUUUCGCAUCCUC